AUGAACGCUGGCGGCGUGCUUAACACAUGCAAGUCGAACGGAAAGGCCUCUGCUUGCAGGGGUACUCGAGUGGCGAACGGGUGAGUAACACGUGGGUGAUCUGCCCUGCACUUCGGGAUAAGCCUGGGAAACUGGGUCUAAUACCGGAUAGGACCACAUUUUGGAUGGUGUGGUGGAAAGUUUUUCGGUGUGGGAUGAGCUCGCGGCCUAUCAGCUUGUUGGUGGGGUAAUGGCCUACCAAGGCGUCGACGGGUAGCCGGCCUGAGAGGGUGUACGGCCACAUUGGGACUGAGAUACGGCCCAGACUCUUACGGGAGGCAGCAGUGGGGAAUAUUGCACAAUGGGCGCAAGCCUGAUGCAGCGACGCCGCGUGGGGGAUGACGGCCUUCGGGUUGUAAACUCCUUUCGCUAGGGACGAAGCGUUAUGUGACGGUACCUGGAGAAGAAGCACCGGCUAACUACGU
RNAcentral lists this ribosomal RNA (464 nucleotides) under uncultured bacterium. RNAcentral's name for it is "bacterial SSU rRNA". It matches the Rfam family "Bacterial small subunit ribosomal RNA", at positions 29 to 506 of the family's 1533-position model. The record is from RNAcentral.